GGAUGCGAUCAUACCAGCACUAACGUAUCAGAUCCCAUAUGAACUCCGAAAUUAAGCGUGCUUGGGCGAGAGUAGUACUAGGAUGUGUGACCCCCUGGGAAGUCCUCGUAUUGCAUCCC
Lycium barbarum (goji berry) is the source of this 119-nucleotide ribosomal RNA. The record is from RefSeq and is a predicted model, not a curated record. Lineage: Eukaryota; Viridiplantae; Streptophyta; Magnoliopsida; Solanales; Solanaceae.